This 102-nucleotide small RNA is filed under the name Salmonella enterica subsp. enterica serovar Heidelberg. Its description in RNAcentral is "partial RtT sRNA". It matches the Rfam family "RtT RNA", at positions 25 to 130 of the family's 130-position model. Rfam says of the family: This family represents a bacterial cis-regulatory element known as RtT RNA. The exact function of RtT is unknown although it is thought that it may be involved in changing the cellular response in relation to amino acid starvation. Lineage: Bacteria; Pseudomonadati; Pseudomonadota; Gammaproteobacteria; Enterobacterales; Enterobacteriaceae. RNAcentral also lists the same sequence under 2 other names. The record is from RNAcentral.
CGAACCUGCCGCAGGUUCGGGUCUCACGUAGUGAGACAACGGAGCCGCUUGCGGCGACGGCCCGAAGGGCGAGCAAAGCGAGUCAUCCUGCACGACCCACCA